Molecule: long non-coding RNA, 1723 nt
Organism: Pseudopipra pipra
Lineage: Eukaryota; Metazoa; Chordata; Aves; Passeriformes; Pipridae
Exons: 8
Source: RefSeq, a predicted model, not a curated record
GGAUGUUGUCUGAUUCAAGCUUUUCUCUUCUGAUUCAGAAGCAUCAUUUCAAGAUGCUUAAUGUGUUUGGUCUUUUUUUCCAGUGUGAAAAUUCAAGCUUUGUUAAAAAAGCAUUACAUUCCUUGCAAACAAAAUCAGACGUUCAAAAUACUUUCAGCUCCUCUGGACAUCAAAAGGAGGAAGGAUCAGGAAGUCUCUGGCUUUGUCCUUAUUUAACAAUAUUAAGAAAAACAGCAUAGUCAUGAUAAAUAACAGCCUUUACAUCGUUUUGUUUCUCUGGAGACUGAUCCUGAUCUUACCUAUCUGAUUUCAUGCACAUGAAUAUUCCCUUUGAUUAAGGUACAUCAGCUCCUGGAAAGCUCAUGUUAAUCAAUGUAGCUGAUGCAAGAACUCCAAGCUUACUGCCUGGUAGUGUCCCAAGGAACAGGAGACAAGGUGGAAAAGCUGAAAUACUCCAGUCUUCAGAUACUAGAGCCCUGAAUGGCACAGAAUGAGAUGUUGAGUAACACAGAGGCAGGAGGUCAUGGGGGAAAACUCUUUGUCCUGGUCACACAUGGACUGGGGCAUACUGAAAAGCUACUUAAGCCUCCUACUCUGUGGCAGAAGAUGCUGCAUUAAGAUUUGUACAAGGUUUUGACAUGAGGCAGAAAACUUCCUCUGAACUCUGUGUGUGUUGGGACCCAGCUCUUAAGUGUCCUGCUUUAUCCCACUUCAGCACCGCCAUCACCUCUUGUUUGAGAUGUGGAUUUUCAUUCUGCCCUUGCUGCGUAAAACCAGUGAAUCAUUUCAGGCAGAAGUUAAGAUCUCCUGCCAUGCUGGGCGGCUCUGCUCUAGUGCCAGAUCCUGGAAGAAUGUUAUCUCUCAGCAUGUGAUUUAGCUGCAGGAAUACUUAUGUGGCUUUUGGAUGAUCCACUGAUGAGAAGUACAGAAAACCCACGAGGAUGUGAACAAUUUUCUCUUGUGUGCUCAAGUAACAGGCAGCAAGUAAGGCAUGGUGCAGUGCAGCAAGCGGCAAGUAGAAAACCAAACAUAAAAUCAUUAAAAUGUAUCCUCCACUCUGUGCAAAUGAGAGAUAGAAAAUUCCUGGGAAAAUCUUUGGGAAUUUAGCUGCUCUUGCAGAGCUCCAGUUAGUGUGAAGGUGGUGUUCAUGUGAGUCCUUGUACCUUGGUAUAGAUUAAGUCCCAUUUCAACUUCUCGUCCGACAUUGGAUCAUAUUUGUUCUGACGCAAGGUGUUAUGUUGCAUUGUGAAUAAAACAGUCAGUUACUGAGAGAGUAACUUCUACAUACCCUGAGGGAUGGUGAUGUUACUGGGCUGGAGAUGGCUGAUCUGUUUCUACGUCUCUGAACCCUGUUGGGAACCUGAACUGUUAACCUGAACUCUCAUUUUUUAUGUGUUUUCUACUAAAACAGUUUUAAAGCAUCUCUGUUACUGUGAAUUCUUGCUUAUUUGUCAUAAAGGAGGAAAAAAAAAAGCCAAAUGGGAAUUAACAAGAGGAUUUUCUUUGUGACUUUAGUCCCUCAUUAGAAGGUUUACAAUCGAGCUUUGGGAAAGAUUUCCUUGAAUUAUUUUAAGGUUCUAAUGAUAAAAACCUUGGGGAGGUCAUGCACAUGGGGGAUUUAAUACCCAUUCAGAACCAUCUGGCAUUAGAUUACAUGCAGGGAAAGAACAAAAUCUGGCAGUAGUAUUCAUCUCCAUUAACCCAGCAUACAGGCUGAUAUGAU